UACGUAGGGGGCGAGCGUUGUCCGGAAUUAUUGGGCGUAAAGCGCGCGCAGGCGGCCGAUUAAGUCAGGUGUGAAAGGCUGCGGCUCAACCGCAGAGUUGCAUCUGAAACUGGUCGGCUUGAGUGCAGGAGAGGGGAGCGGAAUUCCCGGUGUAGCGGUGGAAUGCGUAGAGAUCGGGAGGAACACCAGUGGCGAAGGCGGCUCCCUGGCCUGUAACUGACGCUGAGGCGCGAAAGCGUGGGGAGCGAACAGGAUUAGAAACCCCCGU
Molecule: ribosomal RNA, 268 nt
Filed under: uncultured bacterium
Lineage: Bacteria
Description: partial 16S ribosomal RNA
Rfam family: Bacterial small subunit ribosomal RNA
Source: RNAcentral